Long non-coding RNA from Phragmites australis (common reed), 1865 nucleotides. RefSeq lists it as uncharacterized. The record is from RefSeq and is a predicted model, not a curated record. The transcript is spliced from 3 exons. NCBI's taxonomy places the organism in Eukaryota, Viridiplantae, Streptophyta, Magnoliopsida, Poales, Poaceae.
GUGCAGUUAGGGUUUAGGUUGCAGUCUCGUUCUUUUUUGCAUUAUUAGUUGUGCAGUAGCACGUCUCUGCUUCUUAUACAAAUUGGUGAUCCAAAUCUACUGUCAAGUAUUGCACAAUCUGCUGUCAUUAUUGGAGGUGCUCUGCUUCAUUUCUGUUGUCCAUUUGGAAUUUCGUGCAAACAAUUAUAUAAACUGUUUAUAAAACUAUAUCUCUUCGAAAUUUGAUUUGUUAGCAUCUUCUUGGAUAACAAAUCUUAAAAAUUUCAGCACAGUAUUGUUCUAAGCAUCAUUAAAGUACUCCCUAUGUUUUAUAAUAUCUGUCCCUUCUCUUGCAAGCUGCCCUUUGAAAGUAGUUGUCCAUGGAGGAAAACAAGAGUGUGGUUAAUAUAUCCACCCUACCCCUAAGGUUAAAUGAUUGGUCAUCUCUCUUUUUUCCUUAGACUUAGUGCUUCAUUGGUUUGUGUGCAUUGUUGUUACAAACAUAUAUUUUGAAAAGGAGUGAGUAAUUAUUUUAGUUUCAUUUACCAUUUCUCAUCAGUAGGGUCAUGAAGAACUGAUAUGAUUUGCAAACCAAUACUUAUCAGCAAUGUUAUGUAUUUGGAUUUAUGUACUAAAUGUUUUUAUAUGUGUUGAAACUGACCUUUUUGUCAGCAUUUGCGAUUUUUUAGUUGAGGGACCAUUGGACUGUAGUUUGGUUGAAAUGAGGAGUCACUGUCAUGGUAUUUUGCGCUUUGGUCAUAGUUUUUCCAGUUAAUAGUUUUAGUUAAUUAACUGUCCUUUUUCUCAAGACUUGGUUAUGUGACAAUACCCCAGAUGACUGUAAUGAGUUGCACCAGUUCUGAGAUUUAUAAGCUAUUCAUACUUUCAGUCUCGUGUCUUGAACCUUUUCUUUUACUAUUUAUAUAUGAGGCUUUUUUUUAUUCACCUGUGGGGUUUCAUUCAUGACAAAUUAAAUGGGUGUAAUGUUUGAACCUGACUAACUAUGUGAUCAGCAUAAAUUGUCAAAGGGCUUUGUGUUAUUGUUUUUCUUUUGCAUCAGAGUAAGUGCUAAGAAAUGUCGAAUAUCUUAUCUUCAUGUGGAGAUAAGCAUAUUAUGAUAGAUCCAUAAGUCCACAGAAUGAUUUAGAGAGUAUUAUUCCAUCAAAUCAUUGUCCAAGCAGACAUUUUCGUCUUUUAUGGAUACAAGCUAAACAUGUUUACAUGAGAUCUGAACUUCUUGCUUACAGGCCUAUCCUUAUUUUACCUCGAGUGUAAGAUUGGGACCACCUUAAAUCUUCUAUUCCGAUUGUUUUAACUCUUGGUCUUACCGGCAUGACUUUCUUUGGUGGGUGGAACUACUUUAAAUCUUCAUUUCAGUAACCCUGAUACUAGAAGCCUUACUAACAUUUGAAGCUUCCACAAGCGACAACUCUGCAGAUUGGGAUCACCUUAAAUCUUCUAUUCCGAUGGUUUUAACUCUUGGUCUUACUGGCAUGGCUUUCUCUGGUGCGGAUGUUGGUGGAUUCUUUGGAAAUCCGGAACCUGACCUAUUGGUGCAUUGGUACCAAGUGAGAGCAUUUUAUCCUUUCUUUAGAGGUCACGCUCAUCAUGACACCAGGAGACGUGAGCCAUGGUUGUUUGGAGAGAGAAAAACUGCCCUCUUAAGGGAGGCAAUACAUAUGCGGUAUUCACUGUUGUAUAGAUAUUGCGAGGAGGACGAGAAGCAUGAAGACGAGGUCGGCGAGAAGGACGCUAAGGUGUGGGCUCGGCAUCUUCCACUCUGCCGUCACCGAGGUCAGGCGCUUCGUUUCCCCCUUUGAAUUUUGUGGCCAUCUCUGAUCUUAGUGUGAUACUGCAUGAGCUGCAAAUCUGCAACCGAUGGCCCU